Non-coding RNA from Chrysemys picta bellii (western painted turtle), 1897 nucleotides. NCBI's taxonomy places the organism in Eukaryota, Metazoa, Chordata, Testudines, Emydidae. The record is from RefSeq and is a predicted model, not a curated record.
GGGGGGGAGGGGGAACAGAGGGAAAGGCCUAGAGCGUCUCUUUCAGCAAGAAUGUUGCCGAUGAGACUGGCCAUGGGUUACACGCUGUCAGCAUUUGCAAAGGAGCUGCCUGCCUGGAUUAUCUUCACUGGGAUCUUCCUGCCAGUGGUUUUGCUCCUAUUGUUGCUCAUUGCCUACUUCAGGAUCAAGCUGAUAGAGGUUAACGAGGAAUUGGCCAUGGCUGAUGAUCCCACAAAUGCCAUCCUGAAUUUCCACAUCCGGUACCAGAAACUGAGAUCUGAAAGAAAGAGAUUAACCAAAAGAACAUAAUGACAUUUAAGGGAGGUUCACCUCAGAAAACUGGUUCGACACUAGCAGUCAACUCAGGAGGUUUAAAAGUAACCUGCUGUAUUACAAAAGAUAUGGGGGGAACAAAAUGGUGGGAAGUUAGUACAGAACACUACAAAUGAAGCAGCUGCUGCUAUCUGAAAAGGCCUGGUAACAGUUUUGCUUUCUCUACAUGAUAUUAGUAAGCAACACUUUCCUGAACUCAUCAGCACCUGUGACUUAAUGCAAUGUACUUUAUCGGUUGGCUUCGGAGACACAGCAUUUGGAAAAAAAAACCUCAUUGCUCACUAUUCCUUAGAUGCUUAUAUCAAAUAGAAAUAGCUAUUGGAGUGUCUUCACGUGACAGCUGAAGUCUAUGUAGGUCUAUGAAUCAGCAGCAGUCUUGUUGAAUCACAGGUGCAUGAACAGCAGGUUAACAUGAAUUACUUUUUUUUAACAUACAUAUUGACAAAAGCAUGCUCUCUGAACUGAUGAGAAACUAUAGAAAAACUUGAAAAGUGAAAGACAAUAGUGAUGGAAGGAAAAAAAGGAUUUCUUCAUUUAUUUUUCCUGUUUCAUAUUUCACUAAACUCACCUCCAGUUCAUACUGUAUUAUAUUCUGUUUGUGAGACAGAGUAUUCAAGUUGGUACACCUGCCACCAAACCAUGGAAAGAAGCAACACAUAUCUUCUUAAAGGAUCUGAGUUAUUUUAGUUUGGAAGCACAAAGAAGAACUCUUACAAUACUUAAAUAAGGGGAUGAGUUUUUUAAACUAACAGGUGUAAAUAUGUUGUGAAAUUCUUUCUCCAUAAUGUUUUUUCGUUAGUUGGAAACAAUUUUAUGUUCAAUGUAAUUAUAAAUAUAGCUUCAUCGCCAUGUGUCUGAAACAGAUCACCUUACAAGAAUGUACCAGUGGCCAUUAUUAGAAGAAAGCAACUAAGAAGCCAAAUAGCAAUCAACUUCACCAUGCACAAAGUCUUCUCUGUAUUACAAUUUAAUCUCAUUCCUCUUGCUUCAAAUUCAUGACAAAUGGCAUUACUUUACAUCUGCACACACAGUUUACUGUACAUUGUACUGUAUCAUACUGCAUAUGCAGAAGGGAGCUGAAUUAAGUCUGCAUGGGCAAUGUUCAUAUUGGCAUUUCCUAACUUGUGCAUGUUUGACUUUGCAACCUUUUAAUUCUUAAUUUUAUAUCUCCUAAUAUGGUUUAACUUGAGAAUAACCAUAACUAAUGUUAAAUAAAGGGUUUUUUUUGUUUGGGAAUUUAAAUUGGGACUGAAGCAAGAAUUAUAUGAAUGUAUUCAGAUCAAGCCAUGAAAGUGGAAUAUUACAAUGAGUGGCGACUACAUAUAUCGAUACAUUUUCUAAUGCCUUGUAAACCUGAUAAAAUGAAAGAGGUUUAUCGAGCUUUCUUUCAGAACAGGCUAUUUAAUUUUAUAGUCUCAGUAGAAUGUGGACUAGAUCCAUUGAAUGUCAAACCAUCUUUGUGUAAUUGUAGAGAAUCCAAACUUCACUUUACUUUUUUGUAAACUCUAUCAAUUUAAUAUGCAAUUUCUUCAUUCAGUCAAUAAAAAAUAAUUUUACUGGUUAA